UUUAAGAAACGGAAGACCUUGCUUCUCUUGCAAUAAUUGGGAGCUACGGUAGAGAGAGAACAAUGUUGAGAAUUCAGUCAGAGAAAUUGAUAUUGUCGAAUGCAAAACUCCAAACCAACAUCUUCCGUCUCUUCCUUUGUCAUUUUAAAUCCUUUGAAUAAAACCAUACGUGUAGCAAGAAGAAACAAGUCAGGGUUUUAGCAUUUACGGC
This 211-nucleotide long non-coding RNA is filed under the name Vigna radiata. Its description in RNAcentral is "long non-coding RNA (VRAD_LNC010826)". Lineage: Eukaryota; Viridiplantae; Streptophyta; Magnoliopsida; Fabales; Fabaceae. The record is from RNAcentral.